CAUUGAUCCUGCGCCCUGAAUAAUAUGUGUCCCGUAUUCCAAACGAGCAAGUUUACGCCGUCCGACGCGUAAUUAUGAAAACCUAGGUUCUCUGAGAACCUAGGUUCUCAGAGAACCUAGGUUUUCAAAGAACCUAGGUUCUCAAGAGAACCUGGGUUCUAUGAGAACCUUGGUUCUCAUAAUGAGAACCUAGGUUCUCAUGAGAACCUAGGUUUUCUGAAAACCUAGGUUCUCAGAGAACCUAGGUUCUCAGAGAACCUAUGGUUCCCAAAUGAAAACCACGGAUAUGGCAAGCAGUUCGACGCAUAAUCCCAAGAAACUAGGUUUUUCAUGAGAACCUAGGUUCUCAUUUGAAAACUUUGGUUCUUGACGCCAUGUGCA
Long non-coding RNA from Dreissena polymorpha, 381 nucleotides. RefSeq lists it as uncharacterized. The record is from RefSeq and is a predicted model, not a curated record. Lineage: Eukaryota; Metazoa; Mollusca; Bivalvia; Myida; Dreissenidae. The transcript has 3 exons.